UGAAACUAAAGAUAAGGUGAGGUUUAGGGUGGCUUUGACACCACUCCAGGAUGGUGCAGCAUCAGCUACUUUCAGAUGGCUUAGGCUGAGGGUAUGGAAUGGGGCUGCUCAGUCAGCAGGGCCCUCAGGGCAAACAAAAUUCCACUGGUAAGUCUCAAGGGGGAAAAAAAAAAGACACAGAUUAAGUCUUGGGAUUUACUGUAGCCAAAGUAAAGUUCCGACUCCUAGAAUUUUUUCUGAAAUUGAAUUUUAUCACUCUGCAAGAUGAUUCAAUAGAAGAUAAUAAAUACAAAACAAAUAAAAGAUUUUUAAAUUGGGCAACCCUAAGGCACUGGCAAAACCUUCACCAAUCUUCUUCGUUUAUUUUUCAGACCUGUGUUUGCUCAGGGAUCUGCAACAAGUUUUUGCAAUAUAGAGAAAGAAAGAGACCUAAGAUCAGUAGGUCAAGUCACAGAAAAUUGCUUUUUACCAAGCCACAUUUAGUGCAUUUAUCUGGAAACGCAUCACAGCUGCAUAAAUGCUAAAGGCACUGCAAGAAGCCUCAGUAUUCAUUUCCCAACUGCACUUGCAGCAGUCCCUACGCACCACAGUUCACAACAUUCACUAAGUCACUGCAAUACAUUAAUUUCUGGUGCUCUUUUCUUAGUUCCUCCAACAAGCUGCAAGCCCUAAAUAUUAAUUAACACUGAGAUACUCAAAUGUUUUCAGCUACAGAAUCCUGAGCUUCCUGGACAGCAGUGCCCGUUUGCCUUUUCUAUCAUUACUUUUCCAGAAUGCUCCAUCAAUUCCAUCAGGAAUCCAAAUGCACUUUCUGACCUGAAGGACUGACUUGGAAUGUAUUUCAAAAGAGAGGAAAAAUAUUUGGUCACUGAAAAAAAAUGUGUACUUAACCUAACUGUUGGCAAAAAUGUGGAUCUCUACAAAGCUACUCCUCUGAACUCCAAGACAGAACAGACAUUCCAGGAGGCACACCAGGACCAGGGCAUCUAUCAAGUGUGUGAUGAAUUUAACUGGGCUAAGAUUGACACACAAAAAGGACACGUCUCACACUCCGAUACAGCAUCAAAAUCAGAACAGUAGUCAUGUCUAUGGAUGACUCACAGCCAGCUGGGUUCAUUCAAGUGAAAGAGGAACAUGAUAGCUGUAACCUCUGAGAAAGGAAAUUAGAAAUAAACAUGAAUAGGAUG
Corvus hawaiiensis (hawaiian crow) is the source of this 1187-nucleotide long non-coding RNA. RefSeq lists it as uncharacterized. Lineage: Eukaryota; Metazoa; Chordata; Aves; Passeriformes; Corvidae. The transcript is spliced from 2 exons. The record is from RefSeq and is a predicted model, not a curated record.